AUUGCGCCCCGACUUGAACGGAGCUCAUUUUUUUAUUGCAAUGUCCGAAAUUUCUAUUGUCGGACUAACUUUCUUUGCAAUAAAAAAAUAGCGGGAGUGGAAGGCGGAUAAAGGC
RNAcentral lists this unclassified non-coding RNA (115 nucleotides) under Epilithonimonas pallida. RNAcentral describes it as "Flavo-1 RNA". Lineage: Bacteria; Pseudomonadati; Bacteroidota; Flavobacteriia; Flavobacteriales; Weeksellaceae. The record is from RNAcentral.